GAUGAACGCUGGCGGCGUGCCUAAUACAUGCAAGUCGAGCGAACGGACGAGAAGCUUGCUUCUCUGAUGUUAGCGGCGGACGGGUGAGUAACACGUGGAUAACUUACCUAUAAGACUGGGAUAACUUCGGGAAACCGGAGCUAUUACCGGAUGAUAUUUUGAACCGCAUGGUUCAAAAGUGAAAGACGGUCUUCCUGUCACUUAUAGAUGGAUCCGCGCUGCAUUAGCUAGUUGGUAAGGUAACGGCUUACCAAGGCAACGAUGCAUAGCCGACCUGAGAGGGUGAUCGGCCACACUGGAACUGAGACACGGUCCAGACUCCUACGGGAGGCAGCAGUAGGGAAUCUUCCGCAAUGGGCGAAAGCCUGACGGAGCAACGCCGCGUGAGUGAUGAAGGUCUUCGGAUCGUAAAACUCUGUUAUUAGGGAAGAACAUAUGUGUAAGUAACUGUGCACAUCUUGACGGUACCUAAUCAGAAAGCCACGGCUAACUACGUG
Molecule: ribosomal RNA, 497 nt
Filed under: uncultured bacterium
Lineage: Bacteria
Description: partial 16S ribosomal RNA
Rfam family: Bacterial small subunit ribosomal RNA
Source: RNAcentral